This 291-nucleotide long non-coding RNA is filed under the name Mytilus galloprovincialis (Mediterranean mussel). The record is from RNAcentral. Lineage: Eukaryota; Metazoa; Mollusca; Bivalvia; Mytilida; Mytilidae.
CAUUGAAUUAGAUAUAACAUUUUUAAGCAAAGAAACAGUUUAUUUUUUAGAGAGAUUGAUAAGAUAUUGAUUCCUGAAUGGUCCAAAACAACCAAAAUGGCAUGUCCCUAGACCGCCUGUUCAACAUUCAUACUCUCAAAUAUCGUAAAAAAAUGAAGAAAUAAAUAUUAAUUUUACUUAAUAUAAGUUCUUUAAUAAUUCAAAAGUAUGUUUAGAGCCAACAUAUUUUAAUAAACAGCUUUUAACAUAGGAUUUUUUAUUUUAGAAGGUGUGUCCCUAACACAAUGUCCA